RNAcentral lists this long non-coding RNA (228 nucleotides) under Linum usitatissimum (flax). RNAcentral's name for it is "long non-coding RNA (LUSI_LNC004053)". Lineage: Eukaryota; Viridiplantae; Streptophyta; Magnoliopsida; Malpighiales; Linaceae. The record is from RNAcentral.
UUCCUAGUUUUAUUGUCUGAAUUCUUUUUUUUUUCCUAAAAGUUCAUUAUGUUAUAAAUAUGUGAGUUGGGUAGUGUAUUUUUGUUUAUUUUAAUUUGCUUUUGAUUUGUUCAAUUUGUUACAAAUUUGUAUACGUGGUUUUUGUAACAUGUAGUUUCGGAUUUCAAUCUUAGGAACAUGUUGUUCAAAACAAAAUGGAAAUUAAGUGCUGUAAAAAAAAUUAUUGUC